RNAcentral lists this ribosomal RNA (468 nucleotides) under uncultured bacterium. Its description in RNAcentral is "partial 16S ribosomal RNA". It matches the Rfam family "Bacterial small subunit ribosomal RNA", at positions 28 to 507 of the family's 1533-position model. The record is from RNAcentral.
GACGAACGCUGGCGGCGUGCUUAACACAUGCAAGUCGAACGGAAACGCCCUGCUUUUGUGCGCUGCUCGAGUGGCGAACGGGUGAGUAACACGUGAGUAACCUGCCCUUGACUUUGGGGUAACUUCAGGAAACUGGGGUUAAUCCCAGAUAGGAUCUCCUGCUGCAUGGUGGGCGUUGGAAAGUUUCGGCGGUUGGGGAUGGACUGGCGGCUUAUCAGCUUGCUGGUUGGGUAGUGGCUUACCAAGGCUUUGACGGGUAGCCGGCCUGAGAGGGUGACCGGGGACAUUGGGACUGAGAUACGGCCCAGACUCGAACGGGAGGCAGCAGUGGGGAAUAUUACACAGUGGGCGGGAGCCUGAUGCAGCAACGCCGCGGGCGGGAAGACGGCCUGCGGGUUGUGAACCGCAUUCGCCUGUGACGAAGCGGGAGUGACGGUAAUGGGAAAAGAAGCACCGGCUAACUACGUG